AACGAACGCUGGCAGCAUGCCUAACACAUGCAAGUCGAACGAGACCUUCGGGUCUAGUGGCGCACGGGUGCGUAACGCGUGGGAACCUGCCCUUAGGUUCGGAAUAACUCCCCGAAAGGGGUGCUAAUACCGGAUAAUGUCUUCGGACCAAAGAUUUCUCGCCUUUGGAUGGGCCCGCGUUGGAUUAGCUAGUUGGUAGGGUAAAAGCCUACCAAGGCGACGAUCCAUAGCUGGUCUGAGAGGAUGAUCAGCCACACUGGGACUGAGACACGGCCCAGACUCCUACGGGAGGGAGCAGUGGGGAAUAUUGGACAAUGGGCGAAAGCCUGAUCCAGCAAUGCCGCGUGAGUGAUGAAGGCCUUAGGGUUGUAAAGCUCUUUUACCCGAGAUGAUAAUGACAGUACCGGGAGAAUAAGCUCCGGCUAACUCCGUG
Molecule: ribosomal RNA, 433 nt
Filed under: uncultured bacterium
Lineage: Bacteria
Description: partial 16S ribosomal RNA
Rfam family: Bacterial small subunit ribosomal RNA
Source: RNAcentral